Molecule: ribosomal RNA, 295 nt
Filed under: uncultured bacterium
Lineage: Bacteria
Description: partial 16S ribosomal RNA
Rfam family: Bacterial small subunit ribosomal RNA
Source: RNAcentral
UACGAAGGGGGCUAGCGUUGCUCGGAAUCACUGGGCGUAAAGGGCGCGUAGGCGGCGUUUUAAGUCGGGGGUGAAAGCCUGUGGCUCAACCACAGAAUGGCCUUCGAUACUGGGACGCUUGAGUAUGGUAGAGGUUGGUGGAACUGCGAGCGUAGAGGUGAAAAUUCGUAGAUAUUCGCAAGAACACCGGUGGCGAAGGCGGCCAACUGGACCAUUACUGACGCUGAGGCGCGAAAGCGUGGGAGCAACAGGAUAGAUACCGGAGUAAGUCAGACCAAGUCCACUGCUACGUAAC